RNAcentral lists this ribosomal RNA (378 nucleotides) under uncultured bacterium. Its description in RNAcentral is "bacterial SSU rRNA". It matches the Rfam family "Bacterial small subunit ribosomal RNA", at positions 790 to 1167 of the family's 1533-position model. The record is from RNAcentral.
GUAGUCCACGCCGUAAACUAUGGGUGCUAACUGUCGGGUCCUCAGGACUCGGUGGUGUAGCUAACGUGUUAAGCACCCCGCCUGGGGAGUACGGCCGCAAGGUUAAAACUCAAAGAAAUUGACGGGGGCCCGCACAAGCGGUGGAGUAUGUUGUUUAAUUCGACGCUACGCGAAGAACCUUACCUGGGCUUGUUAUCCGCGUUAUAUCUUGGUGAAAGCCGAGAGUCAUUUAGUUGGACGCGUGACAGGUGCUGCAUGGCUGUCGUCAGCUCGUGUCGUGAGAUGUUGGGUUAAGUCCCGCAACGAGCGCAACCCUCGUCCUUAGUUGCUAACAGGUUAAGCUGAGCACUCUAAGGAAACUGCCAGGGAUAACCUGGA